GGGUUUUGAGCGUUUCUACCUCCAUUGAAGCUUGAGGAGCCAUCAAUCAUCGGUUGUGUGACCAUUGGUGAUUGAGACAUUUGGACCGACCGUGAGUGAUCAACCGCUUGAGCAAGCUUUGGAGCUUGAGUAGCUCCUUGGAAUAGGUGUGUUACUUGUAAGUAAUUGUUGAAACCAAAGUUGAUUGGUUGCUGAACCGUUGGUGGUGAACAAAGGUUGAACGGAAGCUUUGAGGUAAG
Long non-coding RNA from Gastrolobium bilobum, 239 nucleotides. RefSeq lists it as uncharacterized. The record is from RefSeq and is a predicted model, not a curated record. Lineage: Eukaryota; Viridiplantae; Streptophyta; Magnoliopsida; Fabales; Fabaceae. The transcript has 3 exons.